UACGAAGGGGGCUAGCGUUGCUCGGAAUCAUUGGGCGUAAAGGGUGCGUAGGCGGCGCGGUAAGUCGGGUGUGGAAUCUCGGAGCUUAACUCCGAAACUGCAUUCGAUACUGCCGUGCUUGAGGACUGGAGAGGAGACUGGAAUUUACGGUGUAGCGGUGAAAUGCGUAGAUAUCUGGAGGAACACCGGUGGCGAAGGCGGCAUCCUGGACCAACACUGACACUGAGGAGCGAAAGCCAGGGGAGCAAACGGG
RNAcentral lists this ribosomal RNA (253 nucleotides) under uncultured bacterium. Its description in RNAcentral is "partial 16S ribosomal RNA". It matches the Rfam family "Bacterial small subunit ribosomal RNA", at positions 524 to 776 of the family's 1533-position model. The record is from RNAcentral.